CGCCUGAGUAGCUCAGUUGGAUAGAGCAACGCUUUUGUAAAGCGUAGGUCGUCGGUUCGAGUCCGACCUUGGGCU
Molecule: transfer RNA, 75 nt
Filed under: Synechococcus phage S-PM2
Lineage: Duplodnaviria; Heunggongvirae; Uroviricota; Caudoviricetes; Pantevenvirales; Kyanoviridae
Description: tRNA20-Thr;
Rfam family: tRNA
About the family: Transfer RNA (tRNA) molecules are approximately 80 nucleotides in length. Their secondary structure includes four short double-helical elements and three loops (D, anti-codon, and T loops). Further hydrogen bonds mediate the characteristic L-shaped molecular structure. tRNAs have two regions of fundamental functional importance: the anti-codon, which is responsible for specific mRNA codon recognition, and the 3' end, to which the tRNAs corresponding amino acid is attached (by aminoacyl-tRNA synthetases). tRNAs cope with the degeneracy of the genetic code in two manners: having more than one tRNA (with a specific anti-codon) for a particular amino acid; and 'wobble' base-pairing, i.e. permitting non-standard base-pairing at the 3rd anti-codon position.
Source: RNAcentral